Molecule: non-coding RNA, 764 nt
Filed under: unclassified sequences
Description: MISL RNA
Rfam family: MISL RNA
Source: Rfam by way of RNAcentral
GGAUAAUCCCGGGUGACCGGGGAAAGGCUGGCGGAAGCUGGUUCCGCCCUCCCCUCCAGAGCGCGAUAGCGUAAUGUGAGGCAUAUAUCACCAGUUCCUCUGGCCGGAGUCGUGUCCGGUCAGUUCACACACGAAUCAGGAACUGAGCGGCGAGGCGCGAUUAGAAACCGCGCCGAGUCGAGUCAGGCCCACGGGACGUUUCGACCCGUGCGCCGACGCAGUUACCCCAGAGGGUUAUGGUUGCUACUGCGCAGACCAGAACGCAGUCGCGUUUCCUGGCGGGACGACCCCGCCAAAAGGCCCCACUCGCCGCACGAGGGGGGCACGCAAAGGAAGCGCGGCCGCGGGGAGAGAGCGGACCUAGGCAAAGUCCGUGCAACCUCCUCACUGGGGCGGUCCCGCAAAACGGGUUCGCCCUACUGCAAAAGCCAAAAGCAACCUGAGAGGUAAGAGGUCAGACCCGUAACGUAGGGCAAACGGCCGGCCAAAAGCUGGCGCUGUCCCUGCGGUCAUGGUGCCGACGCGAGAAAGUGAAAGUUUGCAGGCGUGUCAGCACCACGUCCGGCGAGCCGCUCCCGGCAGGGAGCGUCCGAACCGGGCGAAGAGGCCUCACUCGAAAGUUCCCGACCGGCAACGGUCAGGACGGUCCCGUCAUGAGACCGAGACAUCCGCAUGCCGCGGAGAGUGGCGUCGGGAAGCACACCGCCCGCGAAAGCGAGAGCGCCCAAGCGUGUGCCGCCGGGAAAGAGCGCGUGGCGAACGCC